This 223-nucleotide long non-coding RNA is filed under the name Lathyrus oleraceus (garden pea). RNAcentral's name for it is "Pisum sativum (pea) long non-coding RNA (PSAT_LNC015890)". The record is from RNAcentral. Lineage: Eukaryota; Viridiplantae; Streptophyta; Magnoliopsida; Fabales; Fabaceae.
UUUGUUCAAUCCUCCGGUAAGAUGAACACUGCUGGAGAUAUAUUUCUUUGGAAAAGACCCGCUCCACUCGGGGGUAGCAACCUUCAGACCUGACUGCUGAGGAAACACCAUUAUAAACCUGCCAGGUAUAACCACACUGACUCGGCUGGGGAGCUAGUCCUACGAUUCUGCUUGGGGACUUAGCUGGGAAAUAAGAAUUCCCGGACUCAUCCGGACCUUUUCU